RNAcentral lists this long non-coding RNA (1479 nucleotides) under Coturnix japonica (Japanese quail). RNAcentral's name for it is "lncRNA (ENSCJPG00005008657.1)". Lineage: Eukaryota; Metazoa; Chordata; Aves; Galliformes; Phasianidae. The record is from RNAcentral.
UUUUGACUGGCACAGUGAUUCCCCUUUAGGUAACUGAGCUGGUGCUUAUGAAUUCCAAGUGGAAAGUAGCGUGUGUACAAAUCAUUACAGAAAAAUGGAAACAUGAUUGGUUUUAUGGUGUUUGCCUUAUUUGGUUACAGACACAAGUGCUGUUGUAUGGCCAGGGCUGUAUUCUAUAUCUAUCUAAUGGUACUAAGUGCACUUAAAAGGAAAACAGGAAAAAAAAAAUCUAAUUCUGCAGAAAAUUAUAGGCAGUCCCUGCGGAUGUAAUAGCAAUAAUAUACUGGGCUUUUAAAUGCAACUAUUCUGGCUCUUGUGUAUCCUGCUCUUUAUUCUUAACGCUAUAAUCAAGUGUAAUUACAGGUGUAGACAUUUUAAUUAAAGGUGAAUGAGUUUUAAUUAAAAGUGAAAAAUACAGAAUUGAACCAACAUUAACAACGUUUGUGUGACCAAAUCCCAGGAGUAUCUUAAUAUAUACCUAAGAAAAACACUAACUUUUACAAAAAGUUUUACUUGUUGAAUCCGUGAAGUGCUUUUCUAUAAUAAGUUCUUUCAGGUACAAAGCGCGCUACUAUUGCUAUGAUUUUGAGACCAUGCCAAAGCUGAUUGCCACUGAGAGUUGCAAGUUUUACCUACCUCAUUAUCAGUGGAUAGAACUGAUUUGUUUCUCUGCUAAGCCAACCUGCGGAUUGUGAGGCAAUUACAAAUAUAAGUGCUAUUGGUUUUGCCGCUGUUGUGGCACAGCAUUGCAGAUUUCAUGCAGUUUUUGUGAUAUGUUCCUUUCUUGUGUUUAGAGCAGUGCUGGUGAAGAAACUGAAUUUGGAGCAAAAGGUCCCAGAGGGCUGAUCACACAGGUCGAUUUCCAAUCGAUCACACCAAACUGAAAUGCAUAGGCUCUUGGUUAUGGGCACAGUAUGUCUGCUGAGAAGCUGGAGCUGGCAUCAGCUGCCAAGGACCUUGGUGGAGUUUGUUUCCAAGCUGGAGAACUGUGAUCUUCCUGGUGAGCAGGAGCAGGCAGAAAUGAAGGAAGGAAAGAAGAUGAAAAUACACCAAAGAAAGAAGUGUCUUAACACAUUCCCCCCAAAGAACAGGUAGCAUUCCCUCAAUUAGUCCAGGCAGACUUCAUCUACUCGAUGGUAGGUCCAAAUUCAGGUCCUGGUUUGUGUGGGAUACUGCAGAAUGUUCUACAUUUUUGUAAUUGAUGUAAUUUUCUUUGGGUUGGGGUGAGUUAAUUAAACAUUACUGCAACAUUUACUGGUGUCUCUUUGGUUUCUGAAAACACUUAAUUCUGUGCUCCUGUCUGUUGAUCUCCUGCCAAAACUCUCUUGCCUUCUGCAUGCUUCCUGUUGCUGAGUUUCUUUUGGGGCUACUUUCAGUAACCUGGAGUGAUUCUGUCAGCAUGUUGCUCGUCAUGCUUACACUACAGAAGAAAAAACUGUCACAGUUCAAGAGAAUGCUCUUCAAUGCCACUGGAAAGGC